This is a long non-coding RNA of Panicum hallii, 263 nucleotides long. RefSeq lists it as uncharacterized. The record is from RefSeq and is a predicted model, not a curated record. The transcript has 3 exons. Lineage: Eukaryota; Viridiplantae; Streptophyta; Magnoliopsida; Poales; Poaceae.
CCCGUCACCGCCCGCUCGUCUCCCAUCCGCACGCAGCUCGCAGGAGAAAUUUGGAAGGCAGCGUGCACGCCUCGGAAGAUGGAUAAGAAGCAGCAACUUUUCAUUUACACAGCUGCAGCGUAUACGUUACUUUCGAUGAUGGCCAUGAUUAUUCAAUCUAGAAAAAGAAAACGCCGUGAACCUGUAGAACCAAUUACCUAUGCUCCAAUUGAGGAGAGGGAUAGAAUGAGAAUUGAGUAUCUGAAUAAUAAGAUAUGGAAGAA